ACGAGAAGAAAUAUUUCUGUUCUUUGUCCCAGAAACAACACAUGAUGCACCUCUCUGUUCUCUUUUCUUCUUCUCUGCUUCAGCAACUGCCAGGGUAGCUUCCUCACUAGCUUUCUUUGAUCGCCUUUCAAUGGAUUUUGACCAUUUUAAACUAGAUCCACCAACACUUAAUACCUUGGAUUUUCGAAGUGAAAAUCCAUGUUUUGACCUUGUGUAAACAGUAUCCCUCUUCCUGGACAGCAGCAAUUUCCUACUAAUUGCAGAUGAGGAAUUAUUACUGGGAUUAGCAGCUGAAUUUGUAAUGAAGCUUCUCCAGUAUGUUGCUCUUUUCCAGGGAAACAAGUGGGGCAAGACCUUCUCAUGAUGCAAUGGAUCACCAUCAGCAUUCAACAAUUGAUCACUACGUAGUGUCCAGACCAAAGAGAAUUUUGAAGGUUUACAUGUCAUAACUUCACGAGAUCGUCCCUUACUCAAACUACUGCUGGAAGUAAUGUUAUGAAGGCUUUGCCCCUCAGGAUUCACACUUUCAUUGGGCAUGUUGACUUUUGGUUUGACAUGAGUUUCCGAUGAAGUCCUAACCAGCUGAUUUUUCCUCCUCUUGUAAUAACCAUUGGAGGGUAAGGCUGGGAUAUUAUGAGCAUUACUAACAGACAAUGAACUAGGAUUUGAAGUUGCAACCAACUGAUUUGAUUUUUGCUUAACAUGACUUAUACCGUUGGCAUUUGAAGACAUUGCAUUCCCAUCGUUUAGUUCACUACAGGAAUCCAAAUUGUUAAUUUGGCCAGUUUGAGUCAUAAGAUUUUCUGAAAUUAUUAUUGCAUUCUCAGAGGAGUUUAGCACAUCAUUACUUGCUGUAGAAGUCAUAUGAUCUGAUGCAGUUUCAGUAGCACAAUUAUGAAGAGGCUCUGCUAGUGGGGAAGAUGUAAAAUUCCCCAAAAAACUGCUAGCAUGAUUUGGCAAUUUGGUGGCACUGGCUAAUGGCGGUGUUCUGGGCCUCUCAAAAGCGGCAUUCGCCCCUGUUCGUACAAAAUUUGAUGGGUCAACAACACCAGUUCUAAUGUCAGAUCCAGCAUUCUUCUUCAUUUCAUCUGUAACAGAAGAGUUCAGCCGAUAAACAGAAGAACUCAAACCAUGAAAGCCCUGGGAUUGAGCAGCAACUGGAGUAUGUUUCAUAACAAGACUGUUACCCUUGCGAAUGUAAGAGGUGUUCUGGAACUUUAUCUUUUUAGGUAGUUGCCAUUGUGUAGGAACAGUGCUUGAAAAAGCCUUGUUUCCUGGCUGAGCCAAUGUAGAAGAAUUAUCAGUUCGAUACCAUGUUCGGGGUUUUGGGAUAUUGGUUAAAGAGGCUGUAUUUUUUGAAGCAGUAAAUACAACAGAUGAGCGACCUGGAUAAAUCCUAGAAACAGCAUGAGUACGCUGGUUCUUCUUCCCAUAUACUUCUCCACUCAUGGUACUCAAUGUUUGAGUAAUAUUUCUGGAAUCCUGUGAUGGAAAAAGUCCUGUCUUCCCACUAAAUGAGCAAUCAUUUUCUACUCCAUUGUCUGAGUUAAAAUCAAUUUCAGUAUUCAAUGGACCACAAGUAACAGCAGAUAUGUUUGGAACACCUUGAAUUGGAGGCUUCCCAAGUAGGACUUCAUCAUCCCCACCAACCUUUUCAAUGGAAAAUUGGCUGUUUGAUCUAUUUGGGACAUCAGGCAAUGUUUCAAGACAAUCCAUAUCAGACAAUGUAUCAGGCACAAGCCCCAUAACUUCACCACUGGAGUUGGUAGUAGAAACUUCAUUAACAUCUCUAAAUGAAGAAAAAUUGCUUGACAAAGAAGGCAAAUCAUUUUUCACAUGAUCACUACAGUCAUUAUCAACAUCUGUACCAUGCAGUCUUUCAUCUGAGUCAGGAAACUGAAGUUCUGAAGGAAAUUGGCACUGAGCUGUUCCCCUGUCAACAAUAUCUUGAUCUUCUGCAGCACCAACAUCUACAUCCAUUUUUUCUCCGUCACCACUUUCUAUAUGAAUGUUAUUUUGAUGAAUACUUCCAGCCAUAACUGGAGUUGUAUGUGCAAUCUGCUUGCCUUCCAGUUCUGAUGGACAAAGGGAUUGCACUUUUUGGACAUCCAGCUCCUCCCCAGAACAAGAAUGAACACCCCUCAAACCAUCUCUAAGUGAAGCCUCAGUGCUAUGACAUCCUCCCACACAACAAUUAUCAAGCGAUGCAGUGAUCUCCUUCUGCAAAAGAGGGACAUCAGGAGUGCACAAAUGAUUCAUGGCAGAAACUGUGGUGUCUAGCUCUGGUUGCAUCAGAUCAUUGCCACAAUUGCAGGGCACUUCUACAGCUGAUACUGAGAUGCCUGCAGUUAGAGGCCCCUCAGACUCACCAGAUGCUAUCAGACAAGUCGAUUCCAGUUGAGAACCAGAGAAUUUUCUUUUCUUUUGAUUCUGCUUUGAAGUACCACUUGGACCAACAUUAACAGUGCUGUUACCUGAAGCAUUGGCCUCCAACGCAUCUGGUGAACUUCUCAGGCAAAAAUCACUGAUUCCAUCUGUACAACCUCGCAAGCCAACAUUCCCACAAACAUCACCAGAAACUGUAAACUCUGUUGGAGUAGGAUCUUUGAAAGACAGUCUUAAGGUUGUAUCGACCCAAGUUGCAGAGUUAACCAUGUUUACAGGCUUUAAAUAUGAAUUAUUCACCUCUGAUUUUGACACAUGUAAUUGAGGCAUUUCAACAUUUUUAUUGCUCUUCUUGAUGUUAGGUGUAUCCUCUUUGCUGCCAUCAGUAGAAAUUGUACAAUUUAGUGAUCCUCCUGUAGGAACAUUCUCAAGUGUACUAACCUUAUCUGAAGAAGGCCUCCCGCAAACAUCAUCAAUAGUCCCAUUGCUGGAAAAAUCAAUUUCUCCUGAAAUAAUGUGACCACUGUUAGAACUAUAAAUGGUCCGUACUUCAUUUGAACAGCUCGCACAUGUAUCAACAUUCUGAAUAGUCCUUUCCCCUGAAUUUGAUUCACAGAAAAUUUUGCCACUUCCUACAGAAAAAUUAGCAUUUAGACACUGAUCUACAACACCAUUCUCCGCUAAAGGUUUACCCUGAUUUGUACAAGGUUCCUUGCAACUAACAUCUGUUGUCCCAAUGUUUGAAACAGUAAUCCCAUCAGAUGAGUUAAUUAAACAGCUGUCAGACUCACACCCCAAGGUUGUAUUAUAUGAACUUGCAGGACCCCCAUAAAUUUUAAUUUUCUUAGAACUUAAGAAACCAAAAUCAGCAUAGCCUUCAGCAGAAUGAGUCUCCAUUGGCAAACCGUUGGGAGAUGCACUUGCUCCAUUACUCUCAAGCAAGAAUGAGCCCACAUUCUGACAAGGCUGCUUGCUGGCAGGUUCAACAUGAUCAAUGUCAGAACUAGUAGUUUCACUUAGUAAUUUAGUAAAAUCCUUGUCAGUAUUUGAGAUACCAUGCAAGUAGUUGACUGAAUUACUUUUGCCUUCUCCAUGACUUGAAGAACCCAGAGGAGAAGUUGAAUGGCUCCUCUUUCUCUUGAUAUUAGGUGGACAUAAUCUACCAGAAUUAGUAUUUGUGUCAUCCUCAGAUACCAUGACCAUAGCAAAACCCUCUACUCUGUCCUUCUGAGUCUCAGGCACCAUAUUUGUUUCAUUUGAGCAGCGCUGUGAAUCAACAAUGUCAACUGAAGCUGUAGAAGCAUUCUUUUCAGGCUCAGAGGAUGCAGGUAGACCAUGGGCAAAGCCAUCUGCUGUCACAGAUUCAUCACACUUAUUACUUGGCUGUGAACUUGAAGAACUCAAAGGGUUUAUGACUUUCUUCACUACUCUCUUCACAAUUUUUUUCUUCUUUGCAACCUUGAGAGAAGAUGUUUUACCAGAAAUGACAUUAGUUCCACCUUUAUUAGACACCGAAACCUUAGUGGAACUCUCCACUUUACUAUUUCCAGGCGAGGUUUUAGUCCCACUGGAACCAGGCAGCGAACUACUAUCAUGCACAUUAACAAUACCAGAAGCAGUAACUUCCACUUUGGACUGUUGUUGGUUGAUGUCAGGACUGGAAGCAUUAUUUGCUACAGAAACAGCAUUGUCCAAUUUUACAGUGCCUUCAUUGGGUUUAAUUACUGAUGAACUUGAAGUAUCCUUAGUAAGGACCAAUGCUUUCCUUUCUUUUUCAUUCCUAGGUGUCAAAUGCAAAUCAGAAACACCUGCAAAACUUGAAGGAGGCAUCACAAUAGCCUUGGCAACCAGUGAAUUGGACUUGAAAGACACAUCAAGCUCUACAGGGCUUCCCUCUCUCACUUGCUCUCCUAUCUCAUGAUUUGGGUACAAAUUCUGAUGUUUACCCCUAAAUGAACUAGAUUUGUUAUCGUCAAAAUAACCUGAAUAAUGCACCCUUUCAUCCUCUCUAUUCCUAUAAUUAGGCUUUUGAAUCCUAAGAAGAACACUCUUUUUCUGUAGUGGCUUCCUUGAAGUUCGACUAAACUCAUAACUAUCCUCUCUACUUCCCUUGCUACUAUGUCUUUCCAACUGUGCAUUCACUUCUCUACACCUAUAAUGCUCACGUUUCCCAGUAGCAACUCGAAUUUCAGAAGGGUCACCAAUCUCAUUACUCCCCCUUUCAAUGAAGGAAUAAUGCGCAUCUCCGUUCACCUCUCUGCCAUGUACCCAUCUCUGAUUCUCAUUCAUUCGAUUAUCAUACGGCAAACCACGCAGAUUCUCACAGGGCGAACUCUGAUUCAUUUGAUUCGAUACCAUUCGGAAAUCCCUUGAAGAUCUAUCUGAAGUGGAUCCAAAUUGACUGCGGCGAUGAUAAUUGUCAUCACCACGACCCAGUCGAAGUUCUUCCCUUUGUUUGUGUUCCUCUAUAAACCUGGAAUUGCCUUCUAAUUCACGCCUAAUCUUCAUAGGAGACAUGGGCUGGUUAUCUAGGGGACGGCGAUAUGAGUCUGAAUCCACGUUGGCAGGAGGGUAGGGCCUAGAGGGCCAUCUAUCGGGCAAAACCCUAGGUGGGUCCCUCAAAUCGGGUCUGCUAUCACGGAUAUAAUUGGGUAAUCGACGCGGAAGAUCAUCGUCGAAGGGUUUGUGGUGCAUAAGGGGAGGAGAUUGGGUGAAAUUAUGAACAUCAGCGUGUGAUCUGGGGUGAUUAGAAUUAAAGGUAUUAGGAUUGUAGGAGAAUUGGGAAUCGUGAGGAUUGAAUUGAGGUGGGGUAGGGAGAGAGUGGUAAGAUGGAGUUGGAGGAGGACGUGGUUGUGGUCGGAGAGGUGGAGGUGGAGGUGCAGCAAUGAGGGUAGAGUGGUGAGAUGCAUAAAUAUUGGGGUUAUUGGGGAAAGGAUGAUCAGGAUGGGGAUGCGAUUGAGGUGGAGGUGGUGGAGGUUGAGGAUGGCGAGGGACGUACCUGGUGUGGUGAAGGUAAGGAGAACGAGGAUCCAUCGCCGGCUAGCUGACGACUCUAUUUGUAAUUUCUGUUUCUUCUCCUUCCGGUUAGAGCUAUAUCACACGUUGACCGUUUAACUCUGCUUUGCUUUGCUUAUUGAGAGAGAAAAGCAAAUAAUAAUGGAACAAAUUCAUACGUCUUGUUUGUUUGGGCAGCUCCCUUAAAAUUUCGCUUGUUG
Molecule: unclassified non-coding RNA, 5600 nt
Filed under: Hevea brasiliensis (rubber tree)
Lineage: Eukaryota; Viridiplantae; Streptophyta; Magnoliopsida; Malpighiales; Euphorbiaceae
Source: RNAcentral